UCCCCUCCAACUAUCCAACAACGGGGGGAAAAGAGAGUACCGGAGGAGCGGGGCGACGGCGGGGGCUAGUGAACACGGGGCGGCAGGAGACCUAGACUGGGGCUUGGCCGGCAAAAAAACCCCCGCGGCGGGGGACCCGCCCCCCGUCUCCAUCUUUGCUUCCUUUUUCUUCCCCAAUGC
Caenorhabditis elegans is the source of this 180-nucleotide non-coding RNA. The record is from Ensembl. NCBI's taxonomy places the organism in Eukaryota, Metazoa, Nematoda, Chromadorea, Rhabditida, Rhabditidae.